AGGAUUCCCUCAGUAAUGGCGAAUGAAGCGGGAAGAGCUCAAAUUUGAAAUCUCCGUCGGCUUCGACGGCGAAUUGUGGUUACGAGAAGUACUUUCCCGGCGGACGGGCGUUGCCUAAGUUGCCUGGAACGGCACGUCGCAGAGGGUGACAACCCCGUACGUGGCAGCGCCUUUCGCUCUCGAUGUACUUUCGAAGAGUCGGGUUGUUUGGGAAUUCAGCCCAAAAGGGGUGGUAAACUCCAUCUAAAGCUAAAUAACGGCGCGAGACCGAUAGCGAACAAGUACCGUGAGGGAAAGAUGAAAAGGACUUUGAAAAGAGAGUUAAACAGUGCGUGAAACCGUUGAGAGGGAAGCGAAUGGAGUUAGCAAUUCGCUUGCCAGAUUCAGUUUCCAGCUUGCCGCGACGUUCGCGUUCUCGAUCUUCGUAGACGAGUCGCGACCGCGCACGGCACGCCGGGGACGCACUUCUGGCGGGCGAUCGUCACCGUCGGUUUCGGACGAACUAAGGGAUUGCAAGGAAGGUAAACCGGUCGUUGGCCGUUUGUUAAGCCUUGCUUUCGUCCUGUCCGUCGGAGACCGGGGAAAGCGGCGCGCGCCUAUAAAUACGGGCUGGUGUCCCGUCUUGCUGUUCGGUUGUCGACUGUGGCGGACGGCGCGCCUGUGCGCUCGAACCGCAGCCGGACAGCAUUUCGGUGAUCAAACACUCCGCGCCUACGACGUUGACGAUCAUACGGCUCUAUCCGACCCGUCUUGAAACACGGACCAAGGAGUCUGACAUGUACGCAAGUCUCUGGGUGAUCGAAACCCGUGGGCGAAAUGAAAGUGAAGGCAGUCUCGGCUGUCGAGGUGAGAAGCGCUCUCUUUGCGAGCGCCGCAUCAUCGACCGACCUAUUCUACUCUUAGGAAGGUUUGAGUAAGAGCGUAGCUGUUGGGACCCGAAAGAUGGUGAACUAUGCCUGAAUAGGGUGAAGCCAGCGGAAACACUGGUGGA
This 991-nucleotide ribosomal RNA is filed under the name Pennatula sp. MBARI D1164-SS3. Its description in RNAcentral is "partial large subunit ribosomal RNA". It matches the Rfam family "Eukaryotic large subunit ribosomal RNA", at positions 71 to 871 of the family's 3401-position model. The record is from RNAcentral. Lineage: Eukaryota; Metazoa; Cnidaria; Anthozoa; Scleralcyonacea; Pennatulidae.